CCACAAAAAAAAAAAAAAAAAGUUUUGGGUUAGAUUGCUAAAAUUUACAAAAGUUUGUAUUUUAUUGUAUUGAGGCAUUUUUCUCCUGCUGCGAUGAAGAUCAUUGCAUGGUGAACGAAAAGGGUUAAGUUGGAUGUAUUAGAAGUUUUAGGGUCCAAACUGGGCCUAUUCAACUAAUUUACAUCCUUUGGGGUUAAAAAAAAAGAAAAAACUCACCAACUAAUUCACACUGAGUUGUCAAUGAAAUACGUCAUAAUCAUUGGUUAAAUUGUGAAUUGGUAAGCAUCUUGAACAUGCUGUUGUUAUGGCACAAUAUUUUCAUUUUUGUAAAGCUCUUGAAGAAAAAAAUUUCUUUUUUAUGCCAUCUCUGAUAUUCAUCCUUCACUUAAACAGAGGAAAAAGUGAUGCAUCGUUGUUAUGGCGUCUUAACCAUUAGCAGGAUAAAAACUUUGCUAAUUAAGUUGUACUAAGUCUUC
RNAcentral lists this unclassified non-coding RNA (476 nucleotides) under Hevea brasiliensis (rubber tree). The record is from RNAcentral. Lineage: Eukaryota; Viridiplantae; Streptophyta; Magnoliopsida; Malpighiales; Euphorbiaceae.